Molecule: unclassified non-coding RNA, 309 nt
Filed under: plant metagenome
Description: partial contains 5.8S ribosomal RNA, internal transcribed spacer 2, and large subunit ribosomal RNA
Rfam family: 5.8S ribosomal RNA (bases 1-105)
Source: RNAcentral
GAAAUGCGAUAAGUAGUGUGAAUUGCAGAAUUCAGUGAAUCAUCGAAUCUUUGAACGCACAUUGCGCCCCUUGGUAUUCCAUGGGGCAUGCCUGUUCGAGCGUCAUUUGUACCCUCAAGCUCUGCUUGGUGUUGGGUGUUUGUCCCGUCUCCGCGCGUGGACUCGCCCCAAAGUGAUUGGCAGCCUGCGUACUGGUCCCGGAGCGCAGCACAUGUCGCGCAAACGAGUGCCUUGGUACGGCGGCGUCCAUAAGCCCCUCUCUCACGCUCUUGACCUCGGAUCAGGUAGGGAUACCCGCUGAACUUAAGC